UGGGGAAUAUUGCACAAUGGGCGCAAGCCUGAUGCAGCCAUGCCGCGUGUGUGAAGAAGGCCUUCGGGUUGUAAAGCACUUUCAGCGAGGAGGAAGGUGGUGAACUUAAUACGUUCAUCAAUUGACGUUACUCGCAGAAGAAGCACCGGCUAACUCCGUGCCAGCAGCCGCGGUAAUACGGAGGGUGCAAGCGUUAAUCGGAAUUACUGGGCGUAAAGCGCAGCAGGCGGUUUGUUAAGUCAGAUGUGAAAUCCCCGAGCUCAACCUGGGAACUGCAUUUGAAACUGGCAAGCUAGAGUCUCGUAGAGGGGGGUAGAAUUCCAGGUGUAGCGGUGAAAUGCGUAGAGAUCUGGAGGAAUACCGGUGGCGAAGGCGGCCCCCUGGACGAAGACUGACGCUCAGGUGCGAAAGCGUGGGGCAGCAAACAGGAUUAGAUACCCUGGUAGUCCACGCUGUAAAACGAUGUCGA
RNAcentral lists this ribosomal RNA (469 nucleotides) under uncultured bacterium. RNAcentral describes it as "partial 16S ribosomal RNA". It matches the Rfam family "Bacterial small subunit ribosomal RNA", at positions 355 to 815 of the family's 1533-position model. The record is from RNAcentral.